Molecule: non-coding RNA, 202 nt
Organism: Pelobates cultripes (western spadefoot toad)
Lineage: Eukaryota; Metazoa; Chordata; Amphibia; Anura; Pelobatidae
Source: the annotation of a GenBank genome assembly
UAAAAUGAUGCAGAGUUUAGACCACUAAGAUGCCUUUGACACCCUUAAAGAAGGCAGCAUGUUAGGUGCCGAAUCUUUGUGGGCGUUGGUGACUCAUGUUCUAUCCUUCUAGACUUGUUUAUUGAUGGUAGUUACCUGUGUAUAUGUGCCUUGCUUUUUUCUUCGCUUUGUUUAUUGUUUUUUGGUGAUUUGUUGUAUAUCC